UUUGGUUAAGUUAGAAAGGGCGCACGGUGGAUGCCUUGACACUAGGAGUCGAUGAAGGACGGGACUAACGCCGAUAUGCUUCGGGGAGCUGUAAGUAAGCUUUGAUCCGAAGAUUUCCGAAUGGGGAAACCCACCAUACGUAAUGGUAUGGUAUCCUUAUCUGAAUACAUAGGGUAAGGAAGACAGACCCAGGGAACUGAAACAUCUAAGUACCUGGAGGAAGAGAAAGCAAAUGCGAUUUCCUGAGUAGCGGCGAGCGAAACGGAACAUAGCCCAAACCAAGAGGCUUGCCUCUUGGGGUUGUAGGACAUUCUAUACGGAGUUACAAAGGAACGAGGUAGACGAAGCGACCUGGAAAGGUCCGUCGUAGAGGGUAACAACCCGUAGUCGAAACUUCGUUCUCUCUUGAAUGUAUCCUGAGUACGGCGGAACACGUGAAAUUCCGUCGGAAUCUGGGAGGACCAUCUCCCAAGGCUAAAUACUCCCUAGUGAUCGAUAGUGAACCAGUACCGUGAGGGAAAGGUGAAAAGCACCCCGGAAGGGGAGUGAAAGAGAUCCUGAAACCGUGUGCCUACAAAUAGUCAGAGCCCGUUAACGGGUGAUGGCGUGCCUUUUGUAGAAUGAACCGGCGAGUUACGAUCCCGUGCGAGGUUAAGCUGAAGAGGCGGAGCCGCAGCGAAAGCGAGUCUGAAUAGGGCGUUUAGUACGUGGUCGUAGACCCGAAACCAGGUGAUCUACCCAUGUCCAGGGUGAAGUUCAGGUAACACUGAAUGGAGGCCCGAACCCACGCACGUUGAAAAGUGCGGGGAUGAGGUGUGGGUAGCGGAGAAAUUCCAAUCGAACCUGGAGAUAGCUGGUUCUCCCCGAAAUAGCUUUAGGGCUAGCCUUAAGUGUAAGAGUCUUGGAGGUAGAGCACUGAUUGGACUAGGGGUCCUCAUCGGAUUACCGAAUUCAGUCAAACUCCGAAUGCCAAUGACUUAUCCUUAGGAGUCAGACUGCGAGUGAUAAGAUCCGUAGUCAAAAGGGAAACAGCCCAGACCGCCAGCUAAGGUCCCAAAGUGUGUAUUAAGUGGAAAAGGAUGUGGAGUUGCUUAGACAACUAGGAUGUUGGCUUAGAAGCAGCCACCAUUUAAAGAGUGCGUAAUAGCUCACUAGUCGAGUGACUCUGCGCCGAAAAUGUACCGGGGCUAAAUACACCACCGAAGCUGCGGAUUGAUACCGAAUGGUAUCAGUGGUAGGGGAGCGUUCUAAGGACAGUGAAGUCAGACCGGAAGGACUGGUGGAGUGCUUAGAAGUGAGAAUGCCGGUAUGAGUAGCGAAAGACGGGUGAGAAUCCCGUCCACCGAAUGCCUAAGGUUUCCUGAGGAAGGCUCGUCCGCUCAGGGUUAGUCAGGACCUAAGCCGAGGCCGACAGGCGUAGGCGAUGGACAACAGGUUGAUAUUCCUGUACCACCUCUUUAUCGUUUGAGCAAUGGAGGGACGCAGAAGGAUAGAAGAAGCGUGCGAUUGGUUGUGCACGUCCAAGCAGUUAGGCUGAUAAGUAGGCAAAUCCGCUUAUCGUGAAGGCUGAGCUGUGAUGGGGAAGCUCCUUAUGGAGCGAAGUCUUUGAUUCCCCGCUGCCAAGAAAAGCUUCUAGCGAGAUAAAAGGUGCCUGUACCGCAAACCGACACAGGUAGGCGAGGAGAGAAUCCUAAGGUGCGAGAGAACUCUGGUUAAGGAACUCGGCAAAAUGACCCCGUAACUUCGGGAGAAGGGGUGCUUUCUUAACGGAAAGCCGCAGUGAAUAGGCCCAAGCGACUGUUUAGCAAAAACACAGCUCUCUGCGAAGCCGUAAGGCGAAGUAUAGGGGGUGACACCUGCCCGGUGCUGGAAGGUUAAGGAGAGGGGUUAGCGUAAGCGAAGCUCUGAACUGAAGCCCCAGUAAACGGCGGCCGUAACUAUAACGGUCCUAAGGUAGCGAAAUUCCUUGUCGGGUAAGUUCCGACCCGCACGAAAGGUGUAACGAUUUGGGCACUGUCUCAACCAGAGACUCGGUGAAAUUAUAGUACCUGUGAAGAUGCAGGUUACCCGCGACAGGACGGAAAGACCCGUGGAGCUUUACUGUAGCCUGAUAUUGAAUUUUGGUACAGUUUGUACAGGAUAGGCGGGAGCCAUUGAAACCGGAGCGCUAGCUUCGGUGGAGGCGCUGGUGGGAUACCGCCCUGACUGUAUUGAAAUUCUAACCUACGGGUCUUAUCGACCCGGGAGACAGUGUCAGGUGGGCAGUUUGACUGGGGCGGUCGCCUCCUAAAGUGUAACGGAGGCGCCCAAAGGUUCCCUCAGAAUGGUUGGAAAUCAUUCGUAGAGUGCAAAGGCAUAAGGGAGCUUGACUGCGAGACCUACAAGUCGAGCAGGACGAAAGUCGGGCUUAGUGAUCCGGUGGUUCCGCAUGGAAGGGCCAUCGCUCAACGGAUAAAAGCUACCCGGGGAUAACAGGCUUAUCUCCCCCAAGAGUCCACAUCGACGGGGAGGUUUGGCACCUCGAUGUCGGCUCAUCGCAUCCUGGGGCUGUAGUCGGUCCCAAGGGUUGGGCUGUUCGCCCAUUAAAGCGGUACGCGAGCUGGGUUCAGAACGUCGUGAGACAGUUCGGUCCCUAUCCGUCGUGGGCGUAGGAAAUUUGAGAGGAGCUGUCCUUAGUACGAGAGGACCGGGAUGGACGCACCGCUGGUGUACCAGUUGUUCUGCCAAGGGCAUAGCUGGGUAGCUAUGUGCGGAAGGGAUAAGUGCUGAAAGCAUCUAAGCAUGAAGCCCCCCUCAAGAUGAGAUUUCCCAUAGCUUAAGCUAGUAAGAUCCCUGAAAGAUGAUCAGGUUGAUAGGUUCGAGGUGGAAGCAUGGUGACAUGUGGAGCUGACGAAUACUAAUAGAUCGAGGACUUAACCAUAUAA
This 2924-nucleotide ribosomal RNA is filed under the name Bacillus thuringiensis. RNAcentral's name for it is "bacterial LSU rRNA". It matches the Rfam family "Bacterial large subunit ribosomal RNA". The record is from RNAcentral. Lineage: Bacteria; Bacillati; Bacillota; Bacilli; Caryophanales; Bacillaceae.